CUCCCUCUGCUCCAGCACCACCUCCCUCUGCCCCAUCAUCUCCCUCUGCUCCAGCACCACCUGAUACGCAGAGAAAAUCCCUAGCAGAGAAAUAUGUCCAUGAAGCUUUUUCUGGAAAAAACGUCUUUGUCCUUCUGUCAAAAGUGAAUGCAUAUAAGUUGUUUUACUCUGACAUUUACAAAAUUGGUCCUGGCAUGGAACUGGUGAGUCAGAUCCUCUGUGACAUGUGCCUGAGGUGGUUCCAUCAGGCGUGUGUGGCUAGCCCACCAACUGAAAAAAUUUUUUACUGCUUUGCAUGUUUGCCUUAGGUUCCUGAGUUUGCUGUGGUGUGCUGGUUUAUGCAUGUUGUUUAAUGCUUCAUAAAGGACAUUUUAAAAACUAUGUUUGAUAUUUAUUCUUCCAAGACUUUAUUUUAACAUAGUUAUUGAAAGAUUUAAAUUCC
Molecule: long non-coding RNA, 442 nt
Organism: Cyprinodon tularosa
Lineage: Eukaryota; Metazoa; Chordata; Actinopteri; Cyprinodontiformes; Cyprinodontidae
Exons: 3
Source: RefSeq, a predicted model, not a curated record